RNAcentral lists this ribosomal RNA (499 nucleotides) under uncultured bacterium. Its description in RNAcentral is "partial 16S ribosomal RNA". It matches the Rfam family "Bacterial small subunit ribosomal RNA", at positions 28 to 507 of the family's 1533-position model. The record is from RNAcentral.
GACGAACGCUGGCGGCGUGCCUAAUACAUGCAAGUCGAGCGGACUUUCAAGAAGCUUGCUUUUUGAAAGUUAGCGGCGGACGGGUGAGUAACACGUGGGCAACCUGCCUGCAAGACGGGGAUAACUCCGGGAAACCGGGGCUAAUACCGGAUAAUAUCUUCCUUCGCAUGAAGGAAGGUUGAAAGGCGGCGCAAGCUGCCGCUUGCAGAUGGGCCCGCGGCGCAUUAGCUAGUUGGUGAGGUAACGGCUCACCAAGGCGACGAUGCGUAGCCGACCUGAGAGGGUGAUCGGCCACACUGGGACUGAGACACGGCCCAGACUCCUACGGGAGGCAGCAGUAGGGAAUCUUCCGCAAUGGACGAAAGUCUGACGGAGCAACGCCGCGUGAGCGAAGAAGGUCUUCGGAUCGUAAAGCUCGGUUGUCAGGGAAGAACAAGUACCGUUCGAACAGGGCGGUACCUUGACGGUACCUGACCAGAAAGCCGCGGCUAACUACGUG